Long non-coding RNA from Esox lucius (northern pike), 2717 nucleotides. Lineage: Eukaryota; Metazoa; Chordata; Actinopteri; Esociformes; Esocidae. The record is from Ensembl.
CUUUGACCGAUGUAGAAUUCAUCACCUGACAUUACGGAUCCGAGAUCCCACUGGUGUUGUUUGUUUGCUGCUUCUCCACCUGAGAAUUCAUUAGUUUCUGCACUCUAGCAAUUUUUUUAAUAGACUCUUUAUCUUGCCUUUGGCUCAACAGUUUUUUGGACAUAUUCACAUCGCUACUUUGAGGGAUGUUUGUGGUUACAUACCUCUAUAGACAAUCCUGCGACACCAGCUAAUGUCACAGCUACACAAGCUUCCUUUCUGGCAAAGUGUUUGGACCGCCACACCUGACAAAAGCUAUCCUCAGCUCACACUUCCCAGCUCAUACCUGGACUUCUGGACCAUUCCAUCUCUGCAGCUGCUUAGUGCUGUCUGCUACUGAAACCUCAUUCACACCAGGCACAGCAAACUAUGCGUUCCAGUCCAUAUCGCAUCGUUGCGGCUAACUUACUGUACUCGGACAGAUUUGGACGUUAUUGGAGUUAUUUUUCCAACUUGGGUGGUGCUUUUCCUUACAGUGUCAGAAACUGAAGUUGAUGUACCAACAAAGAAGAGCUAAUAUGUGGAUUCAACUAUGUUUAUAGGUUCACAAAAAAAGGUUUGGCAGCUCAAUAUGUGUAGUAGCCUACAAAAAGUUUAAGACUUAUGCUUAAUAUUUGAGGGGGCCAUUUCCUAGACCCAAGUAGUUAAAUAUUUGAGCCUAUACAGUAUAUAGCCUGCGUGACUUCACAUUUUUCAUUUCAUUUACUAAAAUAAAACCUAAAUUCAAAGAGCUCCUGCUCGUCUAACAAAAUGAGUCUCUCCUCUUUGCAAUAAUGGUUUUGACGAUGUGGAAGAUUGAUUGCAAUGUUUUCAUAGAUUGAUUGCGAUGUUUGUGUUAAGGUACAGUAAUUUUAGACCGUGCUUGGUGUGAACAAUUGCGAGUUCAAUCCCAGUGCAGUAAGCCCUUGGCUGGGCCUGCUCUCUCAGUUUGCUAGCAGUAAGGCAUUUAACAUUGUGCUAAUCAUCCUCCCUGGCUAACAUGAUGCUAAAAUACUCCACCUUGCAAACUCUCAAACGUAACAACUACUCCACUCCACCUCUGUGCAUUUCAGCCAUCUGUGCAUAAACAAUCCAUAAACAAGGACCUCAUCCUCAGUAAAUUUAUUUUGGACAAUAAACUUGACUUUCUCUGUCUGACCGAAACCGGCCAAAAACCCUUGAAAUACUUCUCUCUCAACCAGACUGCACCUGUUGCAUUCACCUACAUGGAAAAACCACUCCAGGGUGGGCGUCGUGGUGGAAUAGUGACAUUGCAUCUACAAAACAUCAAAACCAGAGCAAUAUCCAUUCCCACACACUCCUCAUUUGAGCACCCCAGAUAGCAAAAAAUAUCUGCAUGGCUUCUUUUUGCCGCCGGCCCUAAGCUGUCUGCUAUAGGUGCGUCUGGCUGGCGGGGAUGAAACGGCGAGAUGCCGUUUCAUCCUGCAAGAUGCCGCUGGCGAUCAUCCGGCGGUCCGACUGCUUCAUUUUCUCUGGCGGUUGCCUCGGUCUAACGGACCACGGCCGUCUGUCGGCAAGCCGCUUUGAAAUACAAGGCUACUCUCAAAAUCGACAAGCCAUGUUGUUUUGGACAGACAUUCGCAUCAGUUCGUCACUCAAUCGCGAGUACAUGUUUCCUUUUUGUGUAAAGCAAUAUUAUGUAUACAUUUUUAUUUAUUUAUAUAUUUAAAAUCUGUAGUCUUUGUUCUUGCCUAACUAGUCAAGCUAAAGUAGCCUUGUUUACGCAAUGUUGCUAGUACAUGUAGAAAUGUAACUAGCUACUGUAGGUAACCAAAGCUUUACAUCUAGAAAGACUAAGUUUAACCCUUGGUGUUCUCUUACAAAAAUAACGAUAUAUAUAGGUUGUUUAAAUUAUUUUGUUUGCCUGAACAAAUAUGUUAGCUAGCACAUGCUGUUUUGCCUUUGUUACAGUACACACUGUGCCUAGCAAGUUUUGUGAUGUGUUGCUACUGUACUGGAUUUAAGGCAAUUGUGAUUUUCAAUCAUUUUGGUUUUUAAGGUAAAUGCAUUGUUAGUCACAAUGUCUAGUUACUGGACCAAAAGCAAAAUAAUUUUGAAAGGAGUUGAGAGGGACAAAGAAUGCUCUUUCUGUUAUUCCCGACUUUGACCAAGUAAAUCCUCAUGUUAAUGAACAUCAACAUGGAAUGGCUUUCUGUUUAUGGUGCAUAACUGACUCUUUCAUUCAUUAUUCCUUGAUCUAGAAUCUUGGCAAGAGGCGAUGAGAAAUUUGGUGUGCUUCCAAAUAGGUUGCAGUGUUGAAACGACGGAUGAUGACAAGAAGGAAAAGCAAAAGAGAAUCUCAAAUUCCAAGUACAGACCCCAGGCCUCUUAUGAUGAAGUGGAGUCUAGUCUUCCAGAUGCACCAGCUGUCAUUUUGACAACCUCUUUUGAGAUUUGAAAACAUUGUUCCCGGUAACGAGGUUUCACUGCUGCCCCAUGCUCCAGAAGUUGCAUCGAUUCCAGAAAACCAGGAAAAUGUUGAGCCAUCUGUAGACUUCAGAGCUGGAAUGUAAAAUGUAUUGCUGUGAUACUUAAUUUGUGAUCCUGCAACUAAACUAUACCCUUUGUUAGAUUUUCAAAUUUCUGAACCAGGUUUCUCCCUAUUAAUCCAGACUCCACUUCACAGAUCCAAGAGUUUGAGUACAACUCGUCAAAUACUAAGCUUUACACCCCCAGCA